CGUCCGAUAGCUCAGUGGUAGAGCGGCCGCCCUGACCGGCGGCGGGCCCGGGUUCGACUCCCGGUGGGACGA
This 72-nucleotide transfer RNA is filed under the name Solihabitans fulvus. It matches the Rfam family "tRNA". From Rfam's summary of the family: Transfer RNA (tRNA) molecules are approximately 80 nucleotides in length. Their secondary structure includes four short double-helical elements and three loops (D, anti-codon, and T loops). Further hydrogen bonds mediate the characteristic L-shaped molecular structure. tRNAs have two regions of fundamental functional importance: the anti-codon, which is responsible for specific mRNA codon recognition, and the 3' end, to which the tRNAs corresponding amino acid is attached (by aminoacyl-tRNA synthetases). tRNAs cope with the degeneracy of the genetic code in two manners: having more than one tRNA (with a specific anti-codon) for a particular amino acid; and 'wobble' base-pairing, i.e. permitting non-standard base-pairing at the 3rd anti-codon position. The record is from Rfam by way of RNAcentral. Lineage: Bacteria; Bacillati; Actinomycetota; Actinomycetes; Pseudonocardiales; Pseudonocardiaceae.